Molecule: ribosomal RNA, 396 nt
Filed under: uncultured Gammaproteobacteria bacterium
Lineage: Bacteria; Pseudomonadati; Pseudomonadota; Gammaproteobacteria
Description: bacterial SSU rRNA
Rfam family: Bacterial small subunit ribosomal RNA
Source: RNAcentral
AGCUUAGGAAUCUGCCUAUUAGUGGGGGACAACAUUUCGAAAGGGAUGCUAAUACCGCAUACGUCCUACGGGAGAAAGCAGGGGACCUUCGGGCCUUGCGCUAAUAGAUGAGCCUAAGUCGGAUUAGCUAGUUGGUGGGUAAAGGCCUACCAAGGCGACGAUCCGUAGCGGGUCUGAGAGGACGGCCCGCCACACUGGGACUGAGACACGGCCCAGACUCCUACGGGAGGCAGCAGUGGGGAAUUUUGGACAAUGGGGGCAACCCUGAUCCAGCCAUGCCGCGUGAGUGAAGAAGGCCUUCGGGUUGUAAAGCUCUUUCGGCCGGGAAGAAAUCGCGCCAGCUAAUAUCUGGUGUGGAUGACGGUACCGGAAGAAGAAGCACCGGCUAACUACGUG